AUCUUUAGGGCCGCUCGGGUUAAUAUAUGUCGUCAGAGGCGCCCCACGCCAAUCCCGGGGCGGCGGGGGCGGUGCCUGGCGCUCUCCGCAAUAAAACUUUUUGAUGUUCUGGUUGCUAAUUGCCGAGGUCCUCUUCCAGGAUUGGCUGCCCCUUCAGAACCAGAAGAUAAUUAAAACGAAGGUGGGGGGGGGCAGGGUUAAAAAAACUUUUUUAUCAGCCAGAGGUUAAUGCAAGUGUUUAACAGAUGCUUCACUAUUAAAAUAUUCUGCCCCCACCCCCGAGACGCAAAUAUUGAAGAAGCUCAAACCAGGGACCCCGGCCUCCACCCCAGCGAUCGGCGAUUUCAAAGCUCGGGCACCUCGAUCCCCCGAAUUUGUGGUGUGGCGGGGAUCGGUGUUCCCCUGGUUUAACUAGCCUGUUUGAAGGCGCAGAUCUUUCUUGCGGAUGUAAAAAAAAAAAACAAAAAAAACAAAAAAAACGGCAACCAGUGCCCCCUCCCCCCUGGCAGAUCUUCAUUUCCCUGGUCUACAUCUGCCUGUGAUUCCAGAAAGACAAACUUCAGAAUGGCUCAGGUACAUCUCUAACCAGGAAUGUGUGGCUGUGAUAGUUAGGAGCUCUGGUGAGUGUGCCCCUCUGCCAUUUUCCUACCCCCGCCCAUGAAGUUCAGGGCUCCAGAAACAGUCCAAGUCUAUCUGCGGGUGUUGUCCCAAAGCCCUGAGUUUUCAGUCCUAAGAGAGAAUGAACUUUGCUUCAGGACAUGAUAGCUCAUGGUUUCCUGAGUGAGGGGACAGUUCCGAGAUGGGAGCAGGUGGUGGAAGUGUCCCCACCCCACAUUGUUCCCUAAUGUGGAUCUGGCACCCCUUGCCUGCCAGUGUACCUGACAAUCAACCCAUCUCUGUCUCUCAAGGAAUACACACUUUGAUUUUUUUCUAGGUCCAGCUUAAGUGCCACCUCCUCCAGGCAGCCUUUCCAGGCAUUGCUGCCUCUCUGCUUGUCCUCUAAGCCUCCAUUAUUCUGCAUACCUUUCUGGGUCUCCUUCAUACAGUUUCUGGUAGAUGCCUGGAAGUCAUCUGCUGUGAUGGCCCCCUGAGAGCCCAGCAUGCACUGCACCCAGUAGGUGCCUCCACAGCCCUGCAGAAGGGACUACCUAGCGAAUGUGGAUGAAUUCCAUUUAUUCAGAUCUCAAUGCACUGAUUUUCUUUAUUUUGUUUAUUUUUAAAGAUUUAUUUAUUUAUACAUACAAGAGCUGGGGUACAGGCCAGAGGUGUGGGAAGCGGGAGGAUUCACCAGAGACAGAGUGGGGAGCAGAACAGGCAGAUUGACCAAAGUACACUGCUGAGAGGAGCAGUGGGCGAGCCAGGAGAGGUCUGCUGCGCCAUGUGGGUAUCUCCCUGGCCAGUGUGGGAUCGAACUCCUGCCACAGUGGCUGCGAAUUGCUUCAUAGUGCGAUUUAACCCCUUGCACCACCAGGGAGGAGCUGGACUUCAUCUCCAAUUCCUGUGACAACCCGAGAAGGCCCCGGCUGUGGGCCCCGGGGGAGACGCAGGCUGGGCCCGCCUCGCCGGUGUGUUCCCCGGAACUCCUGGGACCCUGAGGCAGAGCUGGUCAGGGCGAGUCUUGGCUUCGCACGGAUUGGCUGCGUGACCUCUGGCAACCGUAGAUUUGCCAUCGAAUCGGACCUCGAGGAUGUGCAAGGAAGACGGAAUGAAACCAAGGUCCACGCGGCCGCGAGGCGCCUUGGCACUCGGCCUGCGCUCGCGGAUCUUUCUGUAUUUUCCCUCCACGCCGCCGCGGGUCCGCUGACCACCCUUC
Talpa occidentalis (Iberian mole) is the source of this 1813-nucleotide long non-coding RNA. RefSeq lists it as uncharacterized. The transcript has 3 exons. The record is from RefSeq and is a predicted model, not a curated record. Lineage: Eukaryota; Metazoa; Chordata; Mammalia; Eulipotyphla; Talpidae.